Molecule: unclassified non-coding RNA, 209 nt
Filed under: soil metagenome
Description: partial contains 5.8S ribosomal RNA, internal transcribed spacer 2, and large subunit ribosomal RNA
Source: RNAcentral
AACCUAGCACACCUGCGGUGUGUACCUGCGGAAGGAUCAUUACCGAGUUUACAACUCCCAAACCCCUGUGAACAUACCACUUGUUGCCUCGGCGGAUCAGCCCGCUCCCGGUAAAACGGGACGGCCCGCCAGAGGACCCCUAAACUCUGUUUCUAUAUGUAACUUCUGAGUAAAACCAUAAAUAAAUCAAAACUUUUAACAAUGGAUCU